Molecule: unclassified non-coding RNA, 380 nt
Filed under: uncultured Alphaproteobacteria bacterium
Lineage: Bacteria; Pseudomonadati; Pseudomonadota; Alphaproteobacteria
Description: contains 16S-23S intergenic spacer region
Source: RNAcentral
UCGCGGCUUAUCACCGGCAGUCCCCCUGGAGUGCCCAACUGAAUGAUGGUAACUGGCAGCGAGGGUUGCGCUCGUUGCGGGACUUAACCCAACACCUCACGACACGAGCUGACGACAGCCAUGCAGCACCUGUGUUCCAGCCAGCCGAACUGAAGGGUCUCAUCUCUGAAACCCAUACUGGACAUGUCAAGGGUUGGUAAGGUUCUGCGCGUUGCUUCGAAUUGAACCACAUGCUCCACCGCUUGUGCAGGCCCCCGUCAAUUUCUUUGAGUUUUAACCUUGCGGCCGUACUCCCCAGGCGGGGUGCUUAACGCGUUAGCUGCGACACUGACGAGCAAGCUCGCCAACGUCUAGCACCCAUCGUUUACGGCGUGGACUAC